GUUGUACGAAUGGAAACGAGGACUGUGGAGUGAGUUUAGGAGGUCUGUCCGCUUCUUAUUCUGGACAAGUUUAAUCCGCAGAUACCUGCUCGUGAAGCAGCAGGAGGCUAAUUAGCUAACGUUAAGCUAGCUCGCUAAUCAGCAUCCAGGGAAGCUACUGUGGAAGCUAACUGACUAGCCAGGCAGUUGGAAAAUUAGGUCAAAACAGAAAGCUCAGGUAAAAACGACUCCCUCCCGGGAUAAAGAGCUGUUUCUUCGGGUUAACGGCCAGUUUUUUGAUACGGUACCUUGUGGAAGUCAGGCAGCCGAGGAGACCGAGCUGGCUUGAGGGGCUGAUACAGCUAGCCGAGCCGCUAGCUGGAGAGAUCCUUGGAUCCAGCUGUUUUUUUCCCUUCUGUCGCCUCGCUGUCUUGAAAAGCACAAAGACUUUGACAUAUGGGCAGCACAGAGAGGAGGGAGAGAGAGGAGGGCUCACUCUGAGCACAUUUCUCAGCACCACAUUCGCUAGGACGAAGGGAAGAACUACACUUUUACUUUUAAAAAGCACCCUGGGCUGCUGACACUGAGUCAAUCAUGAAAACCUGAGGCAUUGGGAUCUGCAGCAGAUAUUUGGCCGAGGAAUGAGGAAUAAUCCAUUCUGGAUGUUUCACGUAAAUAAGACUGUGUCACGCCCACUUUCUCAGACAAAAGUUUUCCUUCUUUGCUCCCGGUGAGUCAUCGUUUCAAUAGACGAUCUGUGAAGAGGGCCGCCGCUCAGACAGAGGAAGUGGAGCCGUUUCAUCGGUCCGUUAUCCUUAGAAU
Molecule: long non-coding RNA, 801 nt
Organism: Micropterus dolomieu (smallmouth bass)
Lineage: Eukaryota; Metazoa; Chordata; Actinopteri; Centrarchiformes; Centrarchidae
Exons: 3
Source: RefSeq, a predicted model, not a curated record